RNAcentral lists this ribosomal RNA (710 nucleotides) under uncultured fungus. RNAcentral describes it as "SSU rRNA". It matches the Rfam family "Eukaryotic small subunit ribosomal RNA", at positions 321 to 1035 of the family's 1831-position model. The record is from RNAcentral. Lineage: Eukaryota; Fungi.
UUCGAUGGUAGGAUAGAGGCCUACCAUGGUGGUAACGGGUAACGGGGUGUUAGGGCACGACACCGGAGAGGGAGCCUGAGAAACGGCUACCACAUCCAAGGAUGGCAGCAGGCGCGCAAAUUACCCAAUCCCGACACGGGGAGGUAGUGACAAUAAAUAACAAUACGGGGUUCUUUAGGAUCUCGUAAUUGGAAUGAGUACAAUUUAAAUCUCUUAACGAGGAACAAUUGGAGGGCAAGUCUGGUGCCAGCAGCCGCGGUAAUUCCAGCUCCAAUAGCGUAUAUUAAAGUUGUUGCAGUUAAAAAGCUCGUAGUUGAAUUUCGGGGUUAGUAGGUUGGUCAUGCCUCUGGUAUGUACUGGUCUCACUGAUUCCUCCUUCCUUAUGAACCGUAAUGCCAUUAAUUUGGUGUUGCGGGGAAUUUGGACUGUUACUUUGAAAAAAUUAGAGUGUUUAAAGCAAGCUAACGCUUGAAUACAUUAGCAUGGAAUAAUGAAAUAGGACGUUCGAUCUUAUUUUGUUGGUUUCUAGGAUUGACGUAAUGAUUAAUAGGGAUAGUUGGGGGCAUUAGUAUUCAAUUGUCAGAGGUGAAAUUCUUGGAUUUAUUGAAGACUAACUACUGCGAAAGCAUUUGCCAAGGAUGUUUUCAUUAAUCAAGAACGAAAGUUAGGGGAUCGAAGACGAUCAGAUACCGUCGUAGUCUUAACCAUAA